RNAcentral lists this ribosomal RNA (517 nucleotides) under uncultured Alphaproteobacteria bacterium. Its description in RNAcentral is "bacterial SSU rRNA". It matches the Rfam family "Bacterial small subunit ribosomal RNA", at positions 1 to 528 of the family's 1533-position model. The record is from RNAcentral. Lineage: Bacteria; Pseudomonadati; Pseudomonadota; Alphaproteobacteria.
ACUCAUGAUUAGGGCUAAUGACUGCCGCGACCGUACUCCACCCUAGCGUUCGAUACCACUCAGCCUGCUCCUGGCGGCCAUUCCUAACCAGGCAGUAGAUAUAGACAUUCGGCUCUAGUGUGGCGAGGUUAGUCAAAAAGUGGAAAUAAUUCCCUCAUAUUAUCUAUAGAUGAAAGAGAGGCAUCCCAAGACCUCAUGAUGUCGUAGCGGCAAAGAUUUAUCUACCUAGGAUGAGGGGGCGUAAGCUUAGGUAGCAGGUGACAUAAAGUCUCAUCAGACCGACGAUAUUCACAUGGUGUGAGAGGCUCGUCACACACUCUGGCGGGAGGCAGCGGUCCAGACUCUUGGACAAGGCAGGCAGUGGGGGAUCCAGCACAAUGGCGGGAAUCAAGAACCCGCAAGGGCGCGUGAGCUAUGAAGGCAGGGGGGUUGCGGAAGUAUUUAACCCGGAAUGAUAAUGACAGUACCGGGAGAAUAAGCUCCGGCUAACUCCGUGCCAGCAGCCGCGGUAAUAAGG